UGCGUAGGUGGCAAGCGUUGUCCGGAUUUAUUGGGCGUAAAGCGAGCGCAGGCGGUCUUUUAAGUCUGAUGUGAAAGCCCUCGGCUCAACCGAGGAAGGUCAUUGGAAACUGGAGGACUUGAGUGCAGAAGAGGAGAGUGGAAUUCCAUGUGUAGCGGUGAAAUGCGUAGAUAUAUGGAGGAACACCAGUGGCGAAGGCGACUCUCUGGUCUGUAACUGACGCUGAGGCUCGAAAGCGUGGGGAGCAAACAGG
RNAcentral lists this ribosomal RNA (253 nucleotides) under uncultured bacterium. Its description in RNAcentral is "partial 16S ribosomal RNA". It matches the Rfam family "Bacterial small subunit ribosomal RNA", at positions 524 to 776 of the family's 1533-position model. The record is from RNAcentral.